UAAUACGAAGGGGGCUAGCGUUGUUCGGAAUUACUGGGCGUAAAGCGUACGUAGGCGGAUUGUUAAGUGAGGGGUGAAAUCCCGAGGCUCAACCUCGGAACUGCCUUUCAUACUGGCAAUCUUGAGUCCGGGAGAGGUGAGUGGAACUCCUAGUGUAGAGGUGAAAUUCGUAGAUAUUAGGAAGAACACCAGUGGCGAAGGCGGCUCACUGGCCCGGAACUGACGCUGAGGUACGAAAGCGUGGGGAGCAAACAGGAUUAGAUACCCUGGUAGUCCACGCCGUAAACGAUGGAUGCUAGCCGUCGGGGAGCUUGCUCUUCGGUGGCGCAGCUAACGCAUUAAGCAUCCCGCCUGGGGAGUACGGUCGCAAGAUUA
RNAcentral lists this ribosomal RNA (375 nucleotides) under uncultured bacterium. Its description in RNAcentral is "bacterial SSU rRNA". It matches the Rfam family "Bacterial small subunit ribosomal RNA", at positions 521 to 896 of the family's 1533-position model. The record is from RNAcentral.